Molecule: RNase P RNA, 373 nt
Filed under: Actinomycetota bacterium
Lineage: Bacteria; Bacillati; Actinomycetota
Description: RNase P RNA component class A
Rfam family: Bacterial RNase P class A
About the family: Ribonuclease P (RNase P) is a ubiquitous endoribonuclease, found in archaea, bacteria and eukarya as well as chloroplasts and mitochondria. Its best characterised activity is the generation of mature 5'-ends of tRNAs by cleaving the 5'-leader elements of precursor-tRNAs. Cellular RNase Ps are ribonucleoproteins.
Source: RNAcentral
UGAGCCGGCCAGGUGGUCGCGGCCAGGGGUGGGCCUUCGGGCCUGCGACCUGGUCGAGGAAAGUCGGGACUCCGUAGGGCAGGGUGCUGGCUAACGGCCAGUCGGGGCGACCCGCAGGAAAGUGCCACAGAGAACAAACCGCCGAUGGGUGGUCGAGAGGCCGCCACAGGUAAGGGUGAAACGGUGCGGUAAGAGCGCACCAGCGCCCGGGGUGACCCGGGCGGCUCGGUAAACCCCACUCGGAGCAAGGUCAAAUCGUGGGAGGGGUGGCCCGCCCAAUCUCCCCAGGUAGACCGCAAAGAUGGAUGACCACCCAUCCGGACCCCGGAAACGGGCCGGUGGACAGAAUCCCGCUUACAGGCCGGCUCACCGU